CACGUAGGGUGCGAGCGUUGUCCGGAAUUAUUGGGCGUAAAGAGCUCGUAGGCGGCUUGUCGCGUCGUCCGUGAAAACCCACAGCUCAACUGUGGGCUUGCGGUCGAUACGGGCAGGCUAGAGUUCGGUAGGGGAGACUGGAAUUCCUGGUGUAGCGGUGAAAUGCGCAGAUAUCAGGAGGAACACCGGUGGCGAAGGCGGGUCUCUGGGCCGAUACUGACGCUGAGGAGCGAAAGCGUGGGGAGCGAACAGG
This 253-nucleotide ribosomal RNA is filed under the name uncultured bacterium. RNAcentral's name for it is "partial 16S ribosomal RNA". It matches the Rfam family "Bacterial small subunit ribosomal RNA", at positions 524 to 776 of the family's 1533-position model. The record is from RNAcentral.